GACAGAGGUGCCGAGCGUUAGGCGGAAUCACUGGGCUUAAAGCGUGUGUAGGCGGACUUCUAAGUCCCUUGUGAAAUCCCACGGCUCAACCGUGGAACUGCUUGGUAUACUGGUCGUCUUGAGCCAUCUAGGGGCUGUCGGAACAAAUGGUGGAGCGGUGAAAUGCGUAGAUAUCAUGUGGAACGCCAAAGGUGAAAACAGACAGCUGGGGAUGUGCUGACGCUGAGACACGAAAGCCAGGGGAGCGAACGGG
This 253-nucleotide ribosomal RNA is filed under the name uncultured bacterium. Its description in RNAcentral is "partial 16S ribosomal RNA". It matches the Rfam family "Bacterial small subunit ribosomal RNA", at positions 524 to 776 of the family's 1533-position model. The record is from RNAcentral.